UAUGUGAUCGUCUCUCGCAUAUCAAUAAGCGGAGGAAAAGAAACUAACAAGGAUUCCCCUAGUAACGGCGAGUGAAGCGGGAAGAGCUCAAAUUUGAAAUCUUAAAGGGUUUCCCUUUACGAAUUGUAGUUUAAAGAAGUGUUUUCUGUUGAGGUUUUGGUAAAAGUUCUUUGGAAUAGGACAUCAUAGAGGGUGAGAAUCCCGUAUUUGACCUUUACUUUCAACUUUGUGAUACACUUUCAAAGAGUCGGAUUGUUUGGGAAUGCAGUCCAAAAUGGGUGGUAAAUUUCAUCUAAAGCUAAAUAUUGGCGAGAGACCGAUAGCGAACAAGUACCGUGAGGGAAAGAUGAAAAGAACUUUGAAAAGAGAGUUAAACAGUACGUGAAAUUGUCAAAAGGGAAGCGUUUGACACCAGUGUUGUUUUUCUGAAAUCAAUUAAAGAACUGUUUAUGCUAAGUUGUUUAGACUUUAUCAGCUAACUGUUUAGUUUUGAGCUUUUCUUUAAUGCACUUUUCAGUUAACAAGUCAACAUCAAUUUCUUUUGCUGUAAAAAAGCUUGAGGAAGGUGGCUUGAGAUUCGUCUUAAGUGUUUAUAGCCUCUUGCCUAUGCAGUCGGAGAGAUUGAGGUCUGCAGCGUAGAUCCUUCGGGGCUAAAUGCAUUUGUGCUAAGUUAUAGCAUUUUAUAGACAACUUGUUGACUAUGAUUUGUCUUGUAGCUUACUCGCUUAUGUUAUUUUACCUACGCUUAGGAUGUUGACACACGCGCGUGCUCG
Molecule: ribosomal RNA, 773 nt
Filed under: uncultured Neocallimastigales
Lineage: Eukaryota; Fungi; Neocallimastigomycota; Neocallimastigomycetes; Neocallimastigales
Description: partial large subunit ribosomal RNA
Rfam family: Eukaryotic large subunit ribosomal RNA
Source: RNAcentral